GUGAGGGGGCGAGCGGCGGAGAGAGCGCAGCCCACCGAGCUCCGGCCCCCUCCCCUUUCUCUCUCUGGCCCGGGCCUAUGCGGCCCCCCAGAGACCAUGGGAUCCAGGAUCAACUUGAAUAUGAGGCUGGAACAAACAUGGUUUGCAGUGGUGACACGUCUUCAUGUUCCCAAGACCGUAGACUGGAUAGACAUAAAUGUACUAGUGUCUUAUUUGUGAACCUAAGCUAUAAGCGUCUUUCUUGAAAUAAUCCUGUGUCAGGAGGAUGCUACUGGAGAUGAGGAGUUUGCUAAAGAACAGCCAUGAAAAAUUAAGAGAUUUUACUCAGUUUUCACUCUUCCAUGCAGGAUUCUUGAAGUCAGCACAGACUCCUAAGGUAUUUGCUGACCAAAGAAUGAUGCUUACUUGUCAUCUUUUAUUUAUCUUGUGUUUGGAAAGAUGUCUUCCCAAAGAGUCUUAACAUAAUGAGUAUUAGAAUCUGCAGAUAUUGAUGAAAUUGAUCUGUGAAGUAAUCUUUCUUGCUGUCGGCACACAGGCUUUCUAAGCCAUGAUUUUAAUGAAAAUGAAGAAGUUAACGCUUUUGCCUGUCUGUUGUGGGGAAUAAUUUGGGAACAAAGUACUUGUCACAAACAGAUGAGAAAAAUUUUCAGGCCCUCUCUGGCCUUUAUUUUUACAUUUUAAAUCUUGCUAUUGCAAAAUAAAAUAAUAUCUUUUGGCUGUUAAAACUUCA
This 730-nucleotide long non-coding RNA is filed under the name Apteryx haastii (Great spotted kiwi). RNAcentral describes it as "lncRNA (ENSAHAG00000013080.1)". Lineage: Eukaryota; Metazoa; Chordata; Aves; Apterygiformes; Apterygidae. The record is from RNAcentral.